RNAcentral lists this long non-coding RNA (1338 nucleotides) under Nicotiana tabacum (common tobacco). Its description in RNAcentral is "long non-coding RNA (NTAB_LNC009670)". The record is from RNAcentral. Lineage: Eukaryota; Viridiplantae; Streptophyta; Magnoliopsida; Solanales; Solanaceae.
GAUAUUAUGUGCAGAAACGGUCACUAGCUUAUUCAUGCCAACUGUAUAUUCUAUUCUGAUCUCUUUUGACCCCUACACUUGGUACAGGGAGAAGCUGGAAAUAAGUGCUGGUAAGUUCUAUUUUGUUAAUUAUACUGUGAUUCGUCUCUUCUUUUCUGGGAUCUUAACUGCCUUUGCCUCCAUAAAAUUGAUAAAUGAACACUUUUUUGACUGAUUUCACAUGGUUCCAUAUUGUGGUAAUGGAAAGCAUGUCAUCCUCGUUAUGGACAAAAAACAAUUUAUUCAAGGAAUAAAUUACAGUAGGAGUGUCCGACGCUUGGCCACACUUAUGCUUAACUAGGAUAACUAACAUUGCAACAUAAACAGUGAAUUAUGAGCUAUAUUAUGGUUUAUCAAGAAGCAUAAAAUUCUGUCGUUUCUUACUUGAAGGGAAAAUGUAAAAAAUGAGAAGCAUUGACAUAAAUGGUCAAAUUGCCUAGUCAUAGACGCACUUCACUGUGCUAUAUCUAUUGAGCCUUUAUCUAUUUAUUAGGUAGUAACUUAUUUUCAAGAACAUGGGUUAAUGCCAUUUGCAAUACAGGUAUUAUACGUGCAGGUUGCAGUUAAAGUGGUCGAGCGGUGGAGGGGAUUUUGGUAUUGGGGUGUUCUUAAAGGAGUGGUUUUAGUUGGAGUUGCUAGAUCUUUGAAUUUUUGAACUGUGGUUAUUCAUCAGCAGCAUCUUGUGGAUAUGUUGAAGCUACAUUAGGAUUGCCUCAGUAAUUGCUGAACAAUACUUAGAAAGUGGAUGGUGAAGUUGCCAGUAGAUUUUAGUUAUAGGAGAUUUGUGUAUACAUUUUGGCAAAUAACAUAAACUUGAAGGAAUUCCUCCGUCAGGUCACAGAAGCAUGUCAAAAGAUCCUAUUGUUUGAAUUUGUUUUGGUCAUUCUUGAUAAAUUUGUGUAAUGUACAUUGUGUGUAGGCACAACAUUGAUUUUGUUUAAAGUAUAAUGAAAUAUGCAGCAUUUCCUAUAGCAGCUGGAACUUUUUCUUUUUGUCCAUUUUGGCCAUGCGGUAGUGGAAUUAUGUAUGGCCUUGCGUAGGAUUUGUAAAGAACACUUGGUAUUUAGGAGACUAAUUUUUUACCGUUGUGUUUGUUAUAAAUAGAAUUGUAUUAAAAGUGAAAUCUCUAUAUUUAGAGAGAUUUUAGGGUUUGUUACCGGGGGGCCGAGUCACUUUUCCCUAUAAACAGGGAAGUUCUAUGCCAUUGUAAUUCAUCCCAAAUCAAUAAGAGUUCUCUCUGUUAUCAUGAGACUAACGAAUUGAAUAGAAGCUUUGGGAUUGAGCAUAAUGAUUGUCAAU